Molecule: ribosomal RNA, 726 nt
Filed under: uncultured Streptococcus sp.
Lineage: Bacteria; Bacillati; Bacillota; Bacilli; Lactobacillales; Streptococcaceae
Description: bacterial SSU rRNA
Rfam family: Bacterial small subunit ribosomal RNA
Source: RNAcentral
AUUGACGCUGGCGGCAGGCUAACACAUGCAAGUCGAGCGGUAACAGGGGUAGCUUGCUACCCGCUGACGAGCGGCGGACGGGUGAGUAAUGCAUAGGAAUCUGCCCGAUAGUGGGGGAUAACCUGGGGAAACCCAGGCUAAUACCGCAUACGUCCUACGGGAGAAGGGGGCUCCGGCUCCCGCUAUCGGAUGAGCCUAUGUCGGAUUAGCUGGUGGUGAGGUAACGGCUCACCAAGGCGACGAUCGUAGCUGGUCUGAGAGGUGAUCAGCCACAUCGGGACUGAGAACGGCCCGACUCCACGGGGGCAGCAGUGGGGAUAUUGGACAAUGGGGGACCUGAUCAGCCAUGCGCGGUGUGAGAAGCCUGGGUGUAAGCACUUAGUGGGAGAACGCUGGUGGUAAUACCCAUCAGGAAGAAUCACUCAAGAGAGCACCGGCUAACUCCGGCAGCAGCCGUUAAUACGGAGGUGCGAGCGUUAAAUCGAAAUACUGGGGCGUAAAGCGCGCGUAGUUGGCUUGAUAAAGCCCGGUUUGUGAAAAGCCCCGGGCUCAAACCUGGGAACCGGCAUCGGGAACUGUCAAGGCUAAGAGUGCAGGAGAGGGAAGGUAGAAAUUCCCGGUUGUAGCGGUGAAAUGCGAAGAGAUUCGGGAGGAAAAACCGCCGGCCAAAGGCGGCUUUCUGGCUGACACUGACACUGAGGUGCAAAAGCGUGGGUAGAAAACAGG